AAGGAAAAUAUAUUUAAGAACUUGUAUGGUACCUAUGAGGAGGCAUAUUCUUAUGCCCCUAGAAUGCUUCAUCAAAUAGCAAGUGCUAAUAGGGGGACUCAAGUUUGGCGGAGAGAACGUCCAAACCCAAUGAACCCGGGUGAGCUAAUCCUGGACCGCUUAUUCUGGGCAUUCGCCCAGACUAUACAAGCCUUCAGGCACUGUCGCCCGGUAUUAUCUGUUGAUGGUACCUUUCUCACUGGAAAGUACAAGGGCACACUAUUGGUGGCGAUUGCAGCGGAUGCAAAUAAUCAGCUUCUUCCUAUUGCAUAUGCAUUGGUCGAGAGCGAGAACAAAGAUAGCUGGUUGUGGUUCCUGAGCUGCGUGAAGAUGGGUGUCGUGAAAGAGCGUAAAGGUGUUUGCAUCAUUUCUGAUCGCAACACUGGAUUAUUAAGCGCUCUUGAAAUAAUUAAGGCGUCGGAAGAAGAGUGGGGCUGGCCCGAUCUAGAGGGAAGGUGGUGCAUGAGGCAUUUGGCAGCAAACUUUUACUCCAAAUUCAAAAACAAGGAUUGGUUCAAGUUAUUCAAGAGGAUGUGCAUGCAAAAAACUGUAGCCAAAAUGAAUGCGAUAUGGGCAGGUAUCAAUGGUGAGAUCGACCGCGCGGCCUUGCCGCAGAGAGAAGACCGGAGGGGUCGUAGGACGGUCAUAAAUUUGAGCCAGUGGAUCACCGAGAAUUGCCCUCAUUUGGAGAAGUGGGCACAGGCUCACGACACCGGGGCUCGGUAUGGAAUAAUGACCAGCAACAUGUCAGAGGUGUACAAUGGUGUUCUUAAAGGGGUGCGAGCACUGCCUAUCACAACCCUAAUUGAAGAAACUUGGAACCGGACCCUGUCAUACUUUGCAGACAGGGUCACCGUCGCCAAAGCACAAGUUGAAUUGAACAAG
RNAcentral lists this ribosomal RNA (924 nucleotides) under Triticum aestivum (bread wheat). RNAcentral's name for it is "partial small subunit ribosomal RNA". The record is from RNAcentral. Lineage: Eukaryota; Viridiplantae; Streptophyta; Magnoliopsida; Poales; Poaceae.